UGAAUCUCUGAACCUGCAAGCCAGCCCUGAUUAAAUAUUGUCCUUAAGAGUUGCCUUGGUCAUGGUGUCUGUUUGUAGCAGCAAAAGCAGUAAGACAGAUGUUGGUAUCAGGGUCUGGGGUAUUGCUGUGACAGGCCUGACCAUGCUUUUGUUUGGAAGCAUGUGGAUUUGGGGACUUUGGAUUUGGGAAUCAGUGGAAUGUUUCAAGUGGGGCUUAAUAGGCUGUCCUAGUAGGACUAUGCAAGACUUUGUUGCUGAGAGUGAUUUGAACUGUGCAGACCUGGCCCAAGAGAUUUCAGUGGAGAAGAAUUCCAGUACAUGGCUUAGAGACUGGUUUUGUACUGUUAUGAUGAGGAAUGGCUGCUUUUUGCCCUUGUCUGAACAGUAUACCUGAGGCUAAGGUGAAGAGAUUUAGAUUAAUUGCUUUGAAAAAGGAAGUUUCAAAAAAGCCCAACAGCGACUUUGUUCUCUGGUUAAAUCUCACGAAGAGCAUUUUGAACAAGCAUAGCAAGCUUAGAAAAGGAAAAGUAUUAAAUAUAUGGUUCAAAUAUUAAAGGAGCACCAGGAAGUGAAGUGGAGCUGAAGUCUGUAUUCACAGAUAUUAAAUUGAAUUAAGGGAGUGGUGAGCUUGGGGCAUGAUCCUACCCAGCUAAGUUUAGGUUAUGGUAGUACAAUCCUUUAAUCCCAGGAGGCAAAGGCAAGCAGAUUCUUGAGUUCAAGUCCAGCCUUGAACAGAGCAGGUUCUAGGUGAAAAAAGCUUAAGUCCAGGCAUGGUGGUCCAUGACUUUAAUCCAAGCAUUACAGGAGUCAGAGCUAUGCAGAUCUUGGAGUUCAAAGAUCAAUCUACAGAGCAAGUUCCAGGACAGCCAAGCUUAGGCAGUGAGGGAGUGGAAAAACAGAAAGCUGGUAAUAAAGAAGGGGGUGAUGUUCCAGCUUCACCAAGCAGCAGAACUUGACACCUUUGGCCAUGUGGCUCUGGCUUUUGACACAUGAUGCUGGGACAAUUAAUGCUGGUUAGCUGGAGCUAAGAAAUUAGCAGUGAUUAAGAAGAAACCAGCAUCUCUGAGGUGAAAUCUGAUAAGCAUUUUCUGAGAUUGCAAAGAAUCAGUAUUCCAGAGAUAGCCAAGGUUGAACCUCAUGCUGCAGCUGGACUUGCUAAUGUGUAAGAAUCACUCAGGUGGUACUGGUUUUGAAGGUAUGGAGGAGUCAUGGAGAGUAGCUGAAUGAGGCUUGACACUGUGAGAGGCCAGGGAAGGCCAUUGGUGAAGGUACAGCCUCAGUUGCUGUUGAUGGUCCAGGACUGAAAGGGGUCAUGCAAAGAAAGGUGAGGUUUAGCACCAAGAAGAGAGACUAUAAGAGGCUAUUGGUGAAGCCUAGUUGCAGUUGGAGAUCCCAGGGUAUCCCAGUACCAUAGAAUGAUCACCAAGAAUAGCAGCAGCAGUGGAGUGGAAUCAACAGAAAGAUCCUGACAGAAUGUAAAAGGUCACAGAAGUCCUGAAAUUGGCAAGAUAGAUGUCACUGUUUGCAGAACUAGCUUCACUGAUUUAGAAAAAUAGAGGUGCACAAUGCUCUGGACACUCCUUGAACCCGUGUGUCUGCCAAUGUUUUGACCGUUCCUUGAACCCAUGUGUGUGCCCACUGAUGAAGCCCAUUGCCAGGUGUUUAUGAUAUUGGUUUCUGGGAAAGAGUCAGAAAAUCUCCCCAGCAACCACAGCCGGGCCAAUCCUGAGUUGCUACACCUGCACCAGACUCUUUCCUUGUACCCCUCCCAUACCCAUUUCUUGAGACUAGACAUUGUUUAGAUCUGGAAAUCCCCUACUCUCGCCCCUUUCUCCUUUCACCUCUGAGGGCCUAUAAAAACUGGGACCUCUUUCCCCUUGAGGUCGACUGCUCUACCCCUGCGUGGGAUAUGAGUCAUCCCCAGAGCUCUGGCUUUCCCGGAAUAAAGCCUCAUGUGGUUUACAUCAAGCUUGGUCUCUUGUGAGUUCUUGGGUGUCCGCCAUUGUCCCAAGGCCUGAGCGAGGGGCUCCUCUCAGAGUCUUUCACAACCAGAGCCUCGAGUGCUACAAAGGGCAGAGAUGGAGAAGUGACCCAAGCCCUUUGGAGGAGCCCAGAAGAUCAUGUGUGGAUCCCAGAUACUGGAACAAGAAGCUGUAAAGCUGAUGUUGACUUGGAGACCCCAAGAUGUUAAAGAUGCCAGAGCUGUGGACAGCUGCUAAGUAGAACCAGCCCAGGAGAAAGCUUGUUGCCGUCAACAAAGUCAAAAAACAAGUGGAGAUCUGAAGACUGCUUUGACAUCAGACAAGGAGAUGCAGAGUUUGGAGUUUUCCUGGCUGGUUUCCUGUCUUUCUUUAAGGAUUACAGUUAAGUGAUUGGAUGAAUCUUAGAAGAGACUAUGAACGUUGGACUUUUAACAUUGUUGAGACUGCUAUAGACUAUGAGGGCUUUGGAAGUUGGACCUAAUGUACCUUUUAUUAUGCUAUGACUAGGCAUGGCCCCCAAAGCCUUGUGUUUGAACAAGCCUAUGGGUGCUAAGAAGUAAAGUGAUAUGCUUUGCCCAGGGAGUGACACUAUUAGGAGAUGUGGCCCCAUUGGAGUAGAGUAGGCAUGUCAUUGUGGGUGUGGGAUUUAAGGCCCUCAUCCUAGCUGCCUGGAAGUCAGUCUUCCUCUAGCUGCUUUCUGAUGAAGAGGUAGAACUCUCAGAUCUUCCUGUACUAUGCCUGCCUGGACACUGCCCCGCUCUCACCAUUAUGAUAACAGUCUGAACCUCUGAACCUGUAAGCCAGCCCCAAUUAAAUAUUGUCCAAAAAAGUUUCCUUGGUCAUGGUGUCUGUUCACAGAAGUAAAACCCUAAGACAUACAUAUUAUUAAAAGGAGUUUAAAUAGAGUUACCAUUUAGGAGAGACAAUACCCCAGCUAGAUAUCAUGACACCAAGUAAGAUCUUCAGUACCAUGAACAGGUUACAUUUUUAGCCAACAGGGGUCUCCUCCCUCCCUCCCCCCCCACACACACUGUACAUAUGUAUGUAUGUAUGUAUGUAUGUAUGUAUGUAUGUCUUAUUGGCUUUCUGGCUUUAUAAUAGAAGUUGAAGCCAUGAAAUAUCUAUGGACAGAUAAGGUGAUGUGUGUGAGCAUGCAUGUGGAGGUCACAGAACAACUCUGUAGAGUCAAUUUCACCUUCUGUCCUGCAGAGGUGGCACCUUCCUUAUUUCUGCUGUAUACUCCAGGCAAGCUGGCCAAGGGCUUCCUGAUAGCCUUCCUGUUUCUGCCUCCUAUUUUGUCAUAUGCAUGCUGUAGUUACAGAUGAAGACUAAAGGUACAAAGUUGUAAAGUCGUUUGUCAGCUAACAGCAAUUUAACUUCUGUCUGUUCUGCAAUGACUUUUCCUGGUGAGACACAACACAUACAUAUGACCCCACGUAGAGAGCCUGUGGCUGACCAAACUGGAUAUCACCAAAGUAUAACUGGUGAACCAAUGAACUUUAUAAGGGUUCUUAACAGGAAUGUGGGUGAGGGAUAAAGGAGCAGAAAUGACUCAAAGACACCUACAUCGUCAAAGCCUACCACAGCAUGGGUGACAGAUCACAAAACAUGGGAGCCCAGAGCCUACUCCACAGACAGCCAGACAGGUUGGAGAGUGUCCUUUCCUCAAUUGGUCUGAACCCUCUCCAGGCAGCUCUAUGGUUUCUGCUGCUUCCUGGUCUGAACUCAAGAGUCUCUCAAGUUUGGUUUAUUUGAGCAUGACCUUGAGCAGCCUUUGCUCUUGGGAGGGAGGGGCCCAGUAAAUCUGGUCAGUUUCAGAGACUUCCUUUCUGAAGCUAUUUUGAGUUAUCUUCUAUCUUAAAGCAGGGCUGGAGAGAGAGCUUGGAGGGCAUCGGCAUUACUGCUCUUCCAGAGGAUGGUGUUCAAUUCCCAGCAUCCAUGUGGUGGCUUACAACCUUCUGUAACUCCAGUUCCAUGUGAUCUUCUGCCCUCUACUGGUUUCCUUGGCCAAUGCAUGUACAUGGUACACAGACAGUCUACAUCUGUCCUCAGAGACUCCUACCCAGCUGGCAGAUACCAUCCAGGAACCAAUCUUGCCUCUACUACUGCCCAGGAACCGGCUCACCUCUCUAGUCCCAGUGGUCCUACAAAGCCAAAAGGCCCCUGACUUGCUGACCACAGAGAAAAAGAGGUACUUGUCUCUUCCUCAACAACGAAUGCUAUUAUGUAAACCAGUCUGCCCAGGUAGUAGAGUGGCUUUAAGAACAACCCAGAGCUGGGUUGCAGAAUCCAACCUUUGGGAGCUGACUCCAGUCAGCACUCUCAGCUCCUUCCUCUCCUCUGCCUUCCCAUCUCCCACAUGGUAAAGAGUGCCCCAUCUCUUCAGAUUUUUUUUUCAGAACAGAAUUACUGAGUGAACCAGAUGCUUCUGACAGUAUUCCCCCAGGUCUCCUAUAGUCUCAGCUGCUCCCCCAGGUCUCCUAUAGUCUCAGCUGCUCCCCCAGGUCUCCUAUAUUCUCAGCUGCCAGCUUACACCCCUGCUUUGGAUCAGCAUUCCACACCCGCCCUUUGCCAAUAUGUCUACUCAGCAGGAAGCAGCUUAUGUGAAAUACUGUCACCCCUUAUCAUCAAUAAAGGGCUGAACUGUUAGGUCUCUAAAUCAGGCACCAGCGUUGUAGUGCUGAUGUCAAGGACUCUAGCUGGGUUCUGUAAGGAAACAAAAACCUAAAGCAUUUCUCAGAAGCCCUUAGAGGCCAGCUGAAUAAACCUAACAGCAACUGUCAGCACCUUGUCUGCCGGAAAAAGUUCCCACACUAACCAUCUGGCUGUUUCAACUUCUGAACAUCCUGCCACCCCCUGGCACAAUACAUUCAUAUAAAACACAACAAUCUUUUGCAGCUGAACACUGUCCUCCACUGUGAAAGGCAGCUAGUUGGGGUUCUCUCCACAGAGAGUGGGAGAGUGUCUUGUUUUGCACCACAUACACCAAAUAACUGCUCCUAAAUAAAUAUACCACUUGUAUACCACCAAUUCCACAUCACAAUUUAGUUUUAAAUAUGAACUAAUCGAAGCUGGAGGAAGAGUAAGCAAGACUGUAUAUUAUUGGCUAUCAUGGUGAGACAGGCUGACUCCAUUACAGGCUUCAAACUGGCAGUUUGGGGCACUAGACCUAAAUCUCUGUUUCCAAGAAGUGGGGAAGUCCAGGCCUCAGAAGCUGCCCAGCCUCCAGGCCUGAGGUAAGCUGGAUGGGUCAGCGGCAGUUUCUAGACUUCUUCAUCAACAGUUUCCAGGCUUCCCCAGUAACAGUUUCCAGCCUUGCCCCCCUCCCCGGCCCCCAAGCCCCAGCAAUGGUUCUGGAAUGUACCUAGAGAUAGAUCCAACAGGUUAAGAUAGAGGUCACCUACCCUUCACUGGAAUUCCCCUAAUGUGCUUUAAAAUGGGCAUGUGAGCUCAUUUCAGGACCUCCACCUUGGAAGAUGGUAGACUCAGCAUGUUGGACUUACACAAAACAAAAAAAAAACAAAAAAUGCUCUCUGGUUUUGCAUACUAUGUGAGUCCAGGGUAUCAUUCUUCGGCGAAUCAUGGACCCUUAUCAUGGGUAUUAAGUUUGUUAGGGUUUCAUAUGCUCAGUAUAAUUGGUGGGACCCAGGGAGGCAGAGGGGAAGUUUUGUAUCACACGAGAUGAAAACUGAGGAGGCAAGAGAACGUGUUAACAUGGAGUGAUCCUGAAACAAGCUAACGAUUGCAGAAUUAAGGGCAUCUUUCAACUGCCAUGUGGCUUCCCACUAGUGUAGCAGAUGGGGGUGUGGGAUGUCUAUCUUUCAAAAUAGAAGUGUCCUUUAGAAAUAUGGCUCUAUUACCUGUCCUCUUUCUCCUUCACAGUGUUGGACAGGAAGUAGGGAAAUAGUUCCAGCAUUUCGUAUACCUCAGUUUUAUACUGAUCAUAUAAACUGCAACCUAAUUACUUUUCCCUGUCCUUCUACAUGACUGUCAAUUCCUUGUGCUGGAUAGUUUUUCAGUGUCUGGUUAAUAGAAAGAACUAUCACAUAUUGCACUUUACUAUCAAAUCGGGUCCCUCAAUGCCAGAGUACCCAAAUGCUGGUUUACACAGUGUUGAUUCCAGAUGUCUGUCUGAUUGUGCUGUGUUUGCAUAUUAUCUUUAUCUAAGCAGGGAGUAUAAUUCAGUGAUAGAGUGCCUGCCUAUCACACAGAGGCACUGGUCUGGAAGAAAUAUGUUUACAGGUAUAUGAAAGCAUGCAUUUCACUGUGUGCACUACUCUCACAGUGUGUCAGAACAAUGUCUUUGACAGCCGAUUGCAUCAGCAUAAGUUUGUCUCUUUUCCCUGUAUCUCCUGUUGCCAUGAUAAUACACAUGUAUGCUCAACAGCCCAAGCCAUAAACUUGUCCAGACCAAAAAAAAAAAAAAAAAGGAUGUUUUCGAAAUCUUCAUGCAGCCACUGCAAAAGAGCAGCUAAUAAAUUUAGUUAACUUACAAUUUUUAAUAAACAUGGUUAAUUUAGAGUUUGAAAUUAGAAUUAGUUUCAUUCUAAAGCUUAUUUAGAAAACUAUAUUUGCACUUGAUAGUAGCAAUGAACAUGCAGCAUAUACACAGUUAUACUUUUUCCUUCUACUGAAUAAAUCAUACAUAUCUAUUACAAUUCCAUCUUAAACUAACGAGUGCAGUGAUUCAAAUAAAUCAACUUUAGCCCAAGGAAAGAAAAACUAUCAAAGGUAUUUUUUUAAGUUUAUGCUAAAUUAAUCAUGUAAAGUUCAAGGUACUACAUUCUAAAUGGAGUAGGGAAUGCAGUAUAAUUAACUCAGAGUUGAAUGUCAACCAAAUUGAAAAAAAAGUUUAGCAUAUCAAAUACUGCCCUUACCUCAAUAUUUACAAAAGAUGUAUUCAUCUCCAUUAUACCUAUUCCUAAAAUGACAUUUAGUGACAGAUUCAUAUGAUUUGUAACAGUCAACUUUAAUAUGCAGCUGAUUUUAAUAUAUAUAUAUAUAUAUAUAUAUAUAUUUUAUAUAUGAGCACUUUAUCUACAUGUACACCUGCAUGCCAGAAGAGGGCAUCAGAACUCAGUAUAGAUAUUUGUGAGUCACCAGGUACUUGCUGGGACUUGAACUCAGGACCUAUGGAAGAGCAGUGGUGCUACAGAACCAUCUCUCCAGCCCCCAAUGCAGCCGAAACUUUUAACAAGAAUUUUUGUGUCAACCACAAGGUCAGCAUAUACAUGAAGAAUGACGGCAUUUGUUUCAUUUUGGAGAAAUUUAAGAAGUCACUCCUCUUUUUUUUUUUUUUUUUUUUUUUUUUUUUGAUUGUUUGAGACAGGAUUUCUCUGUGUAGUCCUGGCUGUCCUGGAACUCACUCUGUAGACCAGGCUGGCCUCGAACUCAGAAAUUCACCUGCCUCUGCCUCCUGAAUGCUGGGAUUAAAGGUGUGCGUCACCACACCCGGCGUUACUCCUCUUAUUAAACAAUGUAGUCACUUAAAUGGUCCUUUAACAUUUAAGAAAUAAAGAACUGAGUCUAUGUUCAACUGUUUAAUCUACAUGAUUAGGUACUCCACUGGUCUCUGUUGACUCUUAGCAAGAGAAAACUCAUAUACUGUUUGGUGAUGAUAAUAUAGAUGCUAGAGUAACCACAGGACUGAAUGAGAACACCCAGAGCAUCCCUGCCACAGGGAGCUAAAUGCCAGCAGCAUCCACAGGGCCCAGUCACUUCUUGCUCUGGAAGGAACAGAAAUGUAGGAGUUGGGAACAAUAAACUUCUUGAAGUCCAAUAGUUACUGUUACAGGACUUAUCACUUUCAGAAAUCUGGGUUGAAGUCAGGCAAUAUUUUCAAAGCUAAGGUUUUGGGUUCCUGCUUAAAAGACUGCUGGUUCGUGUUUUUGAACACUCAUAUAGACAAGUGGAUGGUAGGACUAGAAAGACCCAUGUACAAGCUUAGUAAUUGUUAAAUCAUCAGAAACAUGGGAUUUAAUACACUUGUUAAGUUAUACUUGAAAGUAGUAUCACUUAUUUAGAAACAGCAAAUGCUGAACUGCUUUGAAAUGAAUUAAUAAAACAUGAUACAUUAGCAAAUUUUUUUUAGUAAAUUAAAAGUAGAAUUCUGAAGAUCCUUUCACCUUCCACCACCCUACUUCAUGAUCAGGACAGUUGCUGUUCAUAUGGAUGCUCUUUUUAGAGUCUCUUGGAGUCAAGAUGAACAGCCCCAAAGUUUGCACAUGGUACAAGACAUAACUGAGUCUAACAUACCAUAGCUAAGGCCAGACAUCUGUUAUUUUUGCCAAUGAGAAGUCAAAUUUUUAUAACAGAGAGUUUUCAUGACUGAUUUGGGGAAAUGGAUUUUGUAAUUUUAAAACCUUACAAUGGUAUUUCUUAAAAUAAUAGAAACUAAGAGAUUUAAAUUAUCCAUAUCAUGCAGUUCCAUUUCUAUAUACUCUUCAAAAAAAAAAAAAACAACAACAACAAAAACAAAACAAAACAAAAAACCCUCUUUUCCUGCCAAGCCCAGAGCAAAUACUUAGAAUGGAUGCUGUUACCCAAUUUUUCCUGCAGUUUUCUCAUAGAAUAACAACAAGAACAAAUAAACAAAUAAACAAACAUACCAUAAUUAAAUUGUCAAAGGUAAUUUUUUUCAAAACUUUAGAGAUUUGCACAGACAUUUUACAUAUCAUGAAGCUAUCUUGCCUCUGGUCAAUAGCUUUCUUAUAUAGAAAUUACUUAGACUGGUUUCAUUCGCAAGAGAUACUGAUGGGUUUAAAUCCAUUGAUUGCACUAUUACAUGAAAAAUCACAUUAAGAUCAUAUAUGAGGACUCUAAAUACCCAGAUAUAUAAAGCUAUCAAAGCAAAGAAAGGGAUUACUUUCCUGACUAUAGACACUGAGGAUGUAUGGAAACUUAAUCUGCCUGGUUCUCAUUCUGUUGCCCAGGUUAGCCCAGAACACCUGGGUUCAAGUCACCCUCUCUCCUCAGCCCCCUAAUAACACCAACAUUGACUAUCCCCUUUUAAAAUAAAAAACUUGCCUCUACUUUUUAUUAUCUAGCUGUCUUAGUUAGGGUUUUACUGCUGUGAACAGACAUCAUGACCAAGGCAAGUCUUAUAAAAAACAUUUAAUUGGGGCUGGCUUACAGGUUCAGAGGUUCAGUCCAUUAUCAUCAAGGUGGGAGCAUGGCAGUAUCAAGGCAGGCAUGGUGCAGGAGGAGCUGAGAGUUCUAGGUCUUCAACCAAAGACUGCUAGUGGAAGACUGACUUCCAGGCAACUAGGGUGAGGAUCUCAUGCCCACACCCACAGUGACACACCCAUUCCAACCAGGUCACAUCUUAGUCCAGCAAGCUUACCCUCUGAGCACUUGCUGCAGGUUACAGCUGCUGGGUGACGUUUCUCAACUCUUUAUAAAAGCUGCAUCCUUUGUCAUAUAAGGUCAUCAAGGUCUUUUUUUACACCUAUUCCAACAAGGCCACACCUCCAGAUGGUGCCACUGCCUGGUCCAAGGAUAUACAAACCAUUACACUAGUCUAGAGUGAUUAUGUAGAAAUAACAUAUGUCCUAAUAACCGGAUAGGGUAGUGAUCCUUUUAAAGAUUUGUUUUCAUUGUUUUAAAAUUAUGUGUAUAUGUCUCUGUGUGUAUAUGUGCACAGGUAUGUAGAUGCUCUCAGAGAACAGUGAGCCAGAUCACUCCAGGACCAGAGCUACAGGUGGUUCUGAGCCAUCUGAUGUGAACACUGAGAAGCCAACUCUGGUCCUCUGCAAGAGCAGUGCCUGCUUUUAACACCUGAGCUAUCUCUUUAGCUCAAAGAAGCCUGUUAAACCUUACAAAUAACCAAAAAAAAAAAAAAAAAAAAAAGCAGCUAUCUUUCCUAAUCCUUAUUUUACACCCAACAUAUAUAAAUAAGAUGCAUUUUAUAAGUUAACUCAAAAUACAUUUUUAAAAGGGUACAUGCACACUCAAUAAGAAUCCAAAGGCAAAAUAUGCUCUAGCCUUGUCCUUCCUGUGUAUAAUAGUGAAUGCUAUGACUUGUCCACCUACAUUCACCAAAGCUUCUCUAGAAGCCAGGGGUGUGUGGCCUGCUUGUAGCUAACCUGCUUGAGGUUCUGGGAUCAGUUGCCAGCAUCCUCCCCCUAGAACAGUCAGAACUAAGGUAUAAUAAAACUUUUUAAAAAUAAUAUCUAUUAAUAUGGCAAAGGUUUGAGCUGUCAUUUCUAUUUAUUUAUUUAUUUAUUUAUUUAUUUAUUUAUUUAUUUAUUCAUUCAUUCAUUCAAUGGAAAAAAUGCUCUAAAUUCCAAAAUAGAUCUCAUGGUGUAGAGCUGUCAUUUCUAAGAAAGUAAUGUAGUUUAUACACGCAUAUGUAGUUCUUCACGACUAAGAGGAAACAGGCUUCUUGUGAAAAAGGCAUCAUGUCCAAGAAAUUUGCAGUUGUUCUUAGAAUAAGACAUCCCAGUUUAAGAAUAUUUCAUGCCAAGAAUGAAUUUAUUCAAUCUGUUUACAUAACAUUUUUCUGGAAUUUUUUCAGUAGAACUUUGUCUUAAAUCACCAAGUGAAUAUGUUUAGACUAGCUAAUAGUUCUCACAUAUGCAUAUUUUCUUACAAAAUGAUAGCAGCAGGCCCACUAAUAUGGGAAUCAAAUCAACGAUGGAAGUGACAGGGAACACAGAUCGUGACAUGGGAUAUAUACAAAGAAGCCCCAGAUACAACUCAACUUCUCUAAGUCAGAUCAGGCUUGGGAGGACAGAAACAGGCCUAGCAAAUCUUUAGUCUUAGAUGACAGAAACAAGACGAAAGGCUCUCCUGAGAACACAGAGCAUAUCUGAUCCAUCACAGGGUCCAGCCAAGCCCAUUGUGGGCGGUGUCACCCUAGGCUGUGGCCUGGGUUUUGAAAGAGGGAAGCCAGAGCUAGUUAGGGCAAGCCAACUAUUCAGCAGGAUUCCUCCAUGGCCUCAUUUUUUUCCUACCUCCAAUCGCCUGCCAAAUAAACUCUUUCCUCCUCCAAGUUGAUUUUGGUUCGUGUUUUAUUACAACUGAAAUCCAACAGCUAUCUAAUUUGACUUAAGGCCAUUCAACAGGAGGGAAAUCAUGCCUGAGAGUAGAAAUCCAUCAGCACCACUUCUAUUAAACCAGCACAAUUCUUAACUACAUUCUAAAAUUUACACUUAUGCCCACAGAUAAGUGUAGCGCUCACCCCUCAUCAAAGUAGCCUCUGUGCAGCAAAUGGAAACGAUUACAGAAAACCACAACUGGACUUAAUGCAGAGAAAGACCAUGAGGAGCCCAGCUCCCAAGGGUAAAUCUUCAAUACAACUGCACCCAAGGCCAGGGAACAAUUAGAGCCAGUGAGUUUCAGAGACUGUAACAGUCAAAAGACUGGAAUGUCUGUUGUGAAACUGUGUCUUCUAAAAAGGGUUGCCUAAGUAAGACCUAAAAAAAUGACAGUAUCAGCAGACAUACUAAUGUAGAAGAGACAAUUUCAUUAAGUCAUAGUGUUUCUACACAAAAAUCUCUGACAGGCAGAGGCAGAGAGGAGGAGGGGGAGAAGGCAGAGGGAGAGAGGGAGAGGGGAAAAGAGAGUGAGAGAGAAGCAUGGGGGUGGGGGGUGGAAUGAGCCUCUCCUAAGGACCAGCCUAAUUGGUUAUCCAAUACAAAGUGGUCAGCCCACUGAAACCAUACACUCAAACAAAAAUGGAUUCAGGUUAUAUUUAUAUGUGUGCAUCUAUGCAUUUAUGUAAUGAUAAUAAAGAAAGAGAGGCCUUUUUGAUGGAGUAGACAUGAGAAGGUUGGUGGGAGGAAACACGAAGGGUUGGAGAGAAGAGAGGAAAGGAAGAAAUGAUAAAAAUUGUGCUUUAAUUAAAAUGUUAAAUUAAAAAUAAGAAUUAUACAAAGCCUAAUCCAAAGAAAAUUUUUUUCUGAAAAUGAAUUUUAACUUUGAAGAUUAGUUAUUAUCUGAAUGUUGGUAUUAUGACAUCCAUCAUAUUAAAUAACUUAUUUGAUCUUCUGUUUUAAAAAAAUGUUUUGCUAUGGUAGCCAUACCUCUCUGAGGAGCAACAUUGCAAAGAUCUAGUCUCUCCUACAAAGGAUCUGACAUUUCUGUGAUGACUUCAGUGAAGCUCUUUUGCCUAUAAUUACUUUUCUACUGUUCAUUAGUUGAUGGUCUCAUUCAUGUAGAAAAUUAAUUCACUACAUUCCAAAAGAAUAAAAGAUGGCCUAGAAAUACAGGAGUGCUUGUAAAUUUCCCGGCAAAUGGCUCAAUUCCUUCUCAGGUGACCCUAUCACUUAAUAAUUUUAAGGUGCCAAUUUAAAUAAUAGCAGUUAAAAUUUUAGGUUAUAACCUAGAUAUCACAAACUAUCAUCAAGUGUAAAGUUUUAUUCACAUUACAUGAAAUCUGUAUACCAGACUGCAAUCUAUUGAAUCAUAAACAUCUGAAAUUGGCAGAGAUUCAGAGACAGAAAGAAGUUGAGAAGAUGGCAAUCCUGAAACAAACAAGAGCAGGACCUCAAGACGCAAGUCAUGGCCAUGGCACGAGAUUUUCUGUGUUCUAUAGUAAGACCCAACAUCAGAACUGCCUCAAGACUCUAGAGGGUAACACACAAGCAGCAGAAACCAGUCACUACCAGCCAAUUCCUCUGGCAGAGGAGCGUAUCUGAUCUGUGUUUUCUCUAAUGCAACAUGAAAUAAUUGUACUGGUCUCUUGAAGUGAAAACUAAAUAAGGUUCAUAAAAAGCAGACUAGUGCCCUAUGUAUCAUUCUUAGUAACAACACAAGCCCCUGUUCUUAUUAUCAGUGACUUUAGCCCUGGUGGAAAGCUUGGCAACAGAUGUAGGACAGAAAAUACACACCUCACCUCACUGAAAAACAAAACAAAAACAAAAACAAAAACAAACCUGGAAAAGAAAGACUGGCUAGAGAGUUGAACAAAUCUGUUCAUUUAGCUAAUAAGAUUACAUUAUUUGCAAUUUUUGCUGUUUCUAGUUAACAUUUGUUAUUUAUACUUUUUGUCUUUUGGUGAAAUAAUUAGCACUACUUCAUCUUAUUUUAUUUUUUUAAGCUACUUUUCACUACCUUGGGAACUUAAUAACUGUUUGGUUCCCAAACAUUAAUAACAGAAAUGCAAAUGUUUUUAUUAAAUGAUAGUAAUUGCCACAGGGAUUGAUUACCAGGCUCAUAUAUAACAGGAAUUUCAGAGCCUUUUACCACACAGCUCUGGGUAACAUGGCAGUCAUUUACUAGGGUGUCUUAGUAUCACAAGGUAAGUAGAAAGUGAUGAAAUUUGGUAUAGGGUUUCAGUUGAGCAGAGCUUCUCAUGACAGGUAAAGUUUCAGCUAACAGUCCCAGAUAAACUUUGUCCAACAGUCUAAAAUGUUGGUCUUUCAGGAGGGAAGAUGACAAAGUGAUGGUAAUGUUCUCAAAGCCAUCUUAGUCCAGCAAGCUUACGCUCUGAGCACUUGCUGCAGGUUACAGCUGCUGGGUGACGUUUCUCAACUCUUCAUAAAAGCUGCAUCCUUAGUCAUAUAAGGUCACCAAGGUCUUUUUUUCAUUUGUCUAUUAAAUGAUAAGCUGUAACUUAACUGAGAAAGCCUGACUCUUCAGAGUGUACACCGGUUCUGGCUUAUCAUUACCUCAAUGAUUAUGAAGGCAGUUAAAACUACUCUACUGUCUUCAGCCAUCACUUCCUGCUUAUGUGGAAAUACACUUACAAGGUGAAAACUUACAGUCUUCUCUGAAUAAAUAUUCAGCCUUGGCACACACAUGGCAUUCUAUACUUUAAAACACAUAGGAGGUUUUCAAAGUAUUCACUGGGGUAUGUAUCUACUUUUGUGCUGGCUGAAUAGGUCUGCUUUUGAAUGAAUCUUGGUUGGAGCAGCAAUUCAGCCCUGAGGACAUCCCAAGAAGGAAAAAACAAAGGCAAGGCCCCGAGUCAUUAGGUCAAAACACAAUCCUUUGAGAACUGAAUCCAUAAGGCUUUCUCUAGCACCAGAAAUGCAGGAGGCAUGUUCAUGGCAGAGAGCUAGGGACGGUAGAUGGAUGGAUGAAAAUACUCUCUGACACUCUGGGAAUUCAGCAGGCUCUUUCAGGUGAUUAAUUUUGCUUUCUAUCAAAGCUAGACCCCAAAUUAAAAAAAAAAAAUUAGAAUUUGAAGAUGUUUGACAUUAAAACUAUCUUUGAGAAAUCAGCUUGGAAAAUGAUGUUUAUUCUUUUUUAAUCAACAGCAAACAACUGUUAUUGUAAUAUAUUGUUCCAGCACAUCAAAGCUCCCAGGGGGGUCCAGCAAAUGUCACCUCCUGCAGUGUGGCUAAAAGACAGCUUGCUUAGUGCUGAACAUCAAACGGUAAAUUUAAGAGGCAAAUACAAAGGUUAAGAAUUCGACAAGACUGAGAUAAGCUGUUUGGAUAGAUUAGACUUUGAAGAUUGAAUUCACUGACAGUAAAGAUCAAACAUGCAACAACAGCCUUGCUACGUUACUCAGUCCUUACCGAUCUGCAAAGCCAAACUCCCAUUUUUCCAAUUUGAAGACCAGACUUCCAUUUCAUCAUGCUUAGCAUGUCUAACUGGCCUGAAAGAUAAUAAUGAAUUGGAUUCUCCCUACAACUCUCCUCCCCAUAGUAACCAACUUACGGUAACUGUGUUAGGUUCAGAACUGCAAGGUCCUGUAAUUAAGCUUGGUCAGGAGCUUUGAGCUCUGGCUUUUAAUCUCACUUUUUUUUUUUUUUUUUUUUGGUUUUUUUUUUUUUUUUGGUUUUUCAAGACAGUGUUUCUCUGUAUAGCCCUGGCUGUCCUGGAACUCACGUUGUAGACCAGGCUGGCCUCGAACUCAGAAAUUCGCCUGCCUCUGCCUCCCAAGUGCUGGGAUUAAAGGCGUGUGCCACCAUGCCCGGCUAAUCCCACUAUUUUUAAAUACUGGGGAGGCUUAGCUAAAACAUUAGUUGGAACAAGAAAAAUCAGUUCAAAGUAAUAGUUUGGAACUGAUUUUUCUUAGCUGAUUUUGUUUUAAAUAUUAGAUAUAUUUUAGAAAAUAUACCUGAAAAACAUUUCUUGUUUCAACUCAGAAGUUUACCACAAAAUAAUUUAAAUGCAAUUUCUUAUGGAGAAUAAAUAGAAACGUGAAUUAUCAUCCUGUUUAAACUUAACUUUAAAGUCUUACAUAUAAUUCUAAUAUUCUUCAUCCUAAAAUUGUAGAUUCUUAAGAGUUCAUAAAUAUAAAUGCCAACCUAAACAGGUCUGUAGGAAAAUAAUGAAAAAGUUGUUUUCUUUGUUGUUGUUGCUUUAAUUGCUGCUGUUGAGACAGUCACAUAAAAUCAAGACUGUCAUUGAACCCUUGAUCAUUUGGGAUUGAAACAUGCACCACCAUGCCAAGCUAUAAAACAGCAUUCUUGCAGAUCUGUAUGAAAGCCUUAACAAAGCUUUAGCUUUAAGUAAAUAGUUAUGUACAAUGUUUUUUGACAUGUGGCCCUCAUAAAACUAUCAUAAACUUAUCAGCAGUGCAGUAACUUAUAUAUAAACCAAUAACUCUGUUCUAAGUAGACACACAGAAAGGCAAAGGCAUCUUUAUUUUUUAACCUUCAGUCACUCUGGAAUUACAUUAGGUGAUUGAAAUCUUUGAUAAUGAUUUUAACAUUUCACAAAUAGACAGAAAAGUGGAACCUCUAACAAACCAGAAUUUACAUAAUGGCUUCUAUUUCACAAUUGCUUUGGUAAGCUGCCUACUGAGUACGUACCAAGUGCUUUAUGCUGUCCAAAACUAAUCAAAAUAAACAGAAAAGCAAAGAAAUCAUGAGGCUCUACAAAAUGGCUUAGAAAAACAAGUUUUCUAUUUAUUUAAAAAUAAGUUUAUAGUUACUACAUUGCAGGGACAGGAAUUCUUACACAUACAUUCUAGUUUGUAUAAAAGGAUUCCAAGAAUUAUGCAUCAAAACUAACAUAGAAAGUGUCCACGGAACAGUAAAGAAGGUCCGAUCAGUAUGUACAAAAGAAAGAGCCUGCUACCGUGGAGCAAGGCUGCCACUUAUGACACGGUGCUCCAGGUCUAGAAGAAAUAAAACAACAUCCGUAAAGCUAAAUAAUUUUAAAAACUCUGUCACUUAUUACAUACAACAGAUCUGCUUGUGUUUAACAUUGCUUUCUGUACAAAAUAAACAUAAUUUUAAUUUGAAAUGUGUCAGUUACAACAUUAACCCUUUAGGUCAGUUGCUUUUUAAAAUUGAGCUAUAUUUAGACCUCUAAAUAUCCCAUGGUGGGAUUAAGUAGUUUUCUUAAUAACUUUUUAAGACCUGUCUCUUCUUGCUGUUUCAAUAUGGUCUAAAAAUGUAACAUUGUAUCUUACUUUUAAAUUUAUUGUUGUGAUAAACCAACACACACAUCCUUGAAAGUAAUCAGCAUGUGUAUCUGCAUGUAAGUGCAUGUACUAUAAUACAAUCCUGAACCUAUCUUCUUAGUUCUUUAAAUGUAGAAACUCAUCCAUAUACUACUAUGUAUUUGGUUUGUGCCAUAUAAGGUUAAUUUCCUGAUUUUUUUUAUCUGCAUUAAAAAAGUAUUUCAAAACAGAGCUAUUGAAACUAAAAAAUAUAUUUAUAGCUCAGAUAAUCUACUCACUGUACUUGUGUGGGUUGAUCUCCAGAGCGCUCAAAGUGGUACUUACAGUCUUCUGACUCAAUUAGACCUCCUCCUGGAGUACUGUACAUAGUUGAGAAUGUCUUUUCAUUUGGAUCAUUUUGAUAAUUAUAAUUAAAAACAAAAUAGUUUCUUAGUAGAUGCAUUAAUUUUAGUUGAAGUCAUCUAAAAAUCAUUUUUUUGGAUGGAAACAAAAGGUGUACUUUUCCCAAUUUUUAACCUAAGACAACUUACUGCCUAAUUAAGCUACUACUGUUAGCAGUAUCUUCUGGAUAAUAUGGGGCUAAUGCAUUCUAAAUAAAAGCAAUCUCCACCCUAUUCACUUUUAAAAUACUGUACACCUCCUGCAUAUAGGAUGAACAUUGGUAAUAGCCCUUUAGUAACUCAAGUAUCUUGGUCCUUUCAACCUACUCAAAAAUAAACUUCACGCAAACAAAAUAUUAAAAUCAGUUUGUUUUCUUAGAUAGAAAGCUUGAAACCACAUACUUUUAACUUACAUUGGAGAGAAGCUUAUAGAUAGCUAUGAUGAUACAAAAUGGAAUGUCAAAAUAAAACACUGUCAACUGAAACUAACUGUGUGAACGCUGCUAACAUCAUGCAGGGCUGAACUUUAUCUCAAUAACCCUUGAAGGUUCCAGUUAGUCUACUACACUACAGCCAAGAGGCAGUUCUGUUAAUGAUUAUGUAUGAGAAUGUUUGCUGUUCACUGUCCUACGUAAGUCAUUUUCAAGUGAAACUGCUUCCAGUCAAUCAAUCAUGUAUCUCCGAUGUGGCCUAACUAUCUGACAAAUGUUCCAUAGCUAUCUAAUUAGAGUAUGACAAUUCUUUAGUAACCCACCAACCUUUAGUUGUAGUGAAACACUGCAAAACAACAAUGGAAAUAAGGCCCUUAAUUAUCUGUUUAUGCAGAAGACAAAGACCUCUCUAGAGAGACUGUGAGGGGUGAGACCUUUGGAUGCUACAUCUCUACUUCCAAAGGCUGGGAGACUGCAAUUAGACUGAGUCUUUAAACUACUCCUGUGACAACACUGAAACUUCUACUAAACUUGGGCUUCGUGAAGUCAGGAUAGUAUAACAAUAUGGUUGAAUAUUAGAAAUAUAAACUGAGGCUUUUUGGUAUUGCUGCUUUUAUAGCCCUAGUCUUGAACUUGGUUUGCCAUUAAAGGUUAACUUUGAACUCUUGGAUGUUCCUGUCUCCAUGUCCCAAAUGCUGGGAUUAUAGGCAUGGACCACUCAACUCAGCCUGAAAACUGGUAUCUAUGUUCCAUGUACAUAAUAAAUUUCCUUUCUGAUAAACGAGAUGUUUCUUACUGCAUACCUAAGUGAGCGCUAACAACUCCUUCUGACGUACAAACAGUACAUACAGGAUGUUACUGUUGCAAAGAGGAGACUUUUCCAAGCAGUAAAACAAACCAAAACAUGAUGAUUUAAAGUUCAUAAUUUAUCUUCUGCAAUGUACAGAAGCUAAAUUAUAAAAAUAUAACAUCUGUAACUGGUAUUAAUAUAUCUUAAGUUUUCAGUUACAAAUAAUGCAAUCCAAGUCAUUUUACUUUACUAAGAAACCAUUGUCUAAAAAUGUCCAAAUACGGUCAUGAAUACACAGUGUCUUUAACACAGAAAUGUUCUAUUUCCUUGUUAUAAGAGAGAUGGAGAUCACUGCUCAGAGGUUGGAACUCUCUGUGCCCCAUUCUAGAGGUCCUCCACACUAAGACUGUGCGCACUUCCUUAUAUUGAACACACCUUAUAACUACAUUUAUUUAUAAAAAUGGAUUUUAGUCUAAUUUUCUACUACAAUGCAGAUAACAUCAGGAAAUUACAUUUCUCAAAUAGAUUCCCUUCAAAAGUAACUAAUUACUUUAAUGACUUAAAUUUCCAAUGUACACACUAUCAUUUUCAGUAAUGGUGAAAUCGACUCAUUUUUCUAUAACAUCAUCCGUUUCUGCAUUAUGAAGAGUAACUACUUAAUUUUAAUUAUAUAGUUCAAUAUAUUUGUUAGAAAAAAAUAAAUGUACAAAAAACCUAAAAAUUUUGAAAUUAUUUUUUAACUGUAAAAUCACAGCAAUCCAGUCAAGGUCUGGAAAAUGGUUCACUUAGUUUCACUGGAGGGUUUCUGUACAAAUUUCAUUAUAAAUGAUCUAAAAAGCCCAAAUGCAUUACUUUUCAUUCUUCUUCAAGACUGACAGUUAACAUUUAUCCGUAUUGGAAACAAGGAAACAAUUAUAAUCUAAUUACAUAUUUUGCCAAGGUUCAAUUAAAGACUUUAUUCUCUACAUCAGGGUCAUGCUGAUAUAUAUUUUCCCCAUCCUUCCUUUUUAAAAAUGUAGUAUCUGAAAGAUUUGGUUACAUCUUUGUACCAUAUCAGUUCUCAGAAAAUACUACAUUCUUAAAACUUACCAAAAAAAAAAAA
Mus musculus (house mouse) is the source of this 18990-nucleotide long non-coding RNA. RefSeq annotates it as predicted gene, 38553. The record is from RefSeq and is a predicted model, not a curated record. NCBI's taxonomy places the organism in Eukaryota, Metazoa, Chordata, Mammalia, Rodentia, Muridae. The transcript has 2 exons.